RNAcentral lists this ribosomal RNA (310 nucleotides) under uncultured bacterium. RNAcentral's name for it is "bacterial SSU rRNA". It matches the Rfam family "Bacterial small subunit ribosomal RNA", at positions 28 to 335 of the family's 1533-position model. The record is from RNAcentral.
GACGAACGCUGGCGGCGUGCUUAACACAUGCAAGUCGAGCGGUAAGGCCCUUUCGGGGGUACACGAGCGGCGAACGGGUGAGUAACACGUGGGUGACCUGCCUUCAGCUCUGGGAUAAGCCUGGGAAACCGGGUCUAAUACCGGAUAUGACCUCAUGACGCAUGUUGUGGGGUGGAAAGCCUUUAUGCGGCUGGGGAUGGGCCCGCGGCCUAUCAGUCUUGUUGGUGGGGUGAGUGGCCUACCGAAGGCGACGACGGGUAGCCGGCCUGAGAGGGCGACCGGCCACACUGGGACUGAGACACGGCCCAGA